AAAAGAAACUAACUAGGGAUUCCCCCAGUAACUGCGAGUGAAGAGGGAAGAGCUCAUCAUUGGAAUCUGGCAGUGUUGCACUGUCCGAGUUGUAGAUGAGGAGUAGUCCAUCAGGGCUGCAUGGCGUCCAAGUACAAUAGGCCGUCAGUGGGACAUCAUAGAGGGUGACAAUCCCGUCCUUGAUGCCAAUGUGCAAGUCCGCUACGAUGGCUAUCUCAGAGAGUCGAGCAGUUUGGGAUUUGCUGCUUAAACAUGGGAGGUAGAUUCCUUCUAAAGCUAAAUACAGGCGAGAGACCGAUAGAGAACAAGUACCGCAAGGGAAAGAUGAAAUAGAACUCUGUGAAGGGAGUCAAAAGGCGUGAAAUUGUUGCGAGAGAAGCGAUUCAAGUCAGCGUAGCUAGGCCCAUCAAGCCUCUCUUGCUUUGGACUAGCUUUGCCAGCGGUCUUGUCCUAGAGAAGACUUGACUUUGUAUGUCCAGCCUGGUAUGCACAGGUAGCCCCCUCUGGGGGGCAGUGACAUGGCUGGUGGAAUGGCUUGCAAUCGACCCGUCUUGAAACACGGACCAAGGAGUCUAACAUGUAUGCGAGUAUAAGGGUGGCAAACCCGUAUGCGCAAUGAAAGUGACUUUCGGUGAUUGAGAAUGGCCUGAUGACCAGACAAGCGAUAUUAUGUCCCUCGUACGGCCAUUGCCCAAGUUCCGUGGUAGAUCCCAUGAACAUGGAGUUGGAGCAUACAUGCUAGGACCCGAAAGAUGGUGAACUAUGCCUGGACAAAGCGAAGCCAAAGGAAACUCUGGUGGAGGCUUGUAGCGAUUCUGACGUGCAAAUCGAUCGUCUGAUCUGGGUAUAGGGGCGAAAGACUAAUCGAACCAUCUCAUAGCUGGUUCCUGCCGAAGUUUCCCUCAGGA
The sequence is a ribosomal RNA, 908 nucleotides long. It matches the Rfam family "Eukaryotic large subunit ribosomal RNA", at positions 57 to 978 of the family's 3401-position model.